ACUCCUACGGGAGGCAGCAGUGGGGAAUAUUGCACAAUGGGCGCAAGCCUGAUGCAGCAACGCCGUGUGAGUGAAGAAGGUUUUCGGAUCGUAAAACUCUGUCCUAAGGGAAGAAACAAAUGACGGUACCUUAGGAGGAAGCCCCGGCUAACUACGUGCCAGCAGCCGCGGUAAUACGUAGGGGGCGAAGCGUUAUCCGGAAUCACUGGGCGUAAAGGGUGCGUAGGCGGCUUAGCAAGCCAGGGGUGAAAGGCAUUGGCUCAACCAAUGUAAGCCUUUGGAACUGUUAAGCUUGAGUGCAGGAGAGGUAAGUGGAAUUCCUAGUGUAGAGGUGAAAUUCGUAGAUAUUAGGAGGAACACCAGUGGCGAAGGCGACUUACUGGACUGUAACUGACGCUGAUGCACGAAAGCGUGGGUAGCGAACAGGAUUAGAUACCCUGGUAGCACAGAG
Molecule: ribosomal RNA, 451 nt
Filed under: uncultured bacterium
Lineage: Bacteria
Description: bacterial SSU rRNA
Rfam family: Bacterial small subunit ribosomal RNA
Source: RNAcentral